Long non-coding RNA from Paramisgurnus dabryanus, 1729 nucleotides. RefSeq lists it as uncharacterized. NCBI's taxonomy places the organism in Eukaryota, Metazoa, Chordata, Actinopteri, Cypriniformes, Cobitidae. The record is from RefSeq and is a predicted model, not a curated record.
UUAAUGACACUUAAUCAUUAACAAACAUUUAAAAAGCUUUAUUACAAUACUAAUUGAUAAUAUAUAUGUAAUAAUCUUGUUUUGUAACACCCUAAAUCACUGAGCGCACAAACGCUACCCCUGUUACAAGCAUGAGUGAUUGACUUCAGGCACACAUGCGCAGACAUUGAAGUACCGCGAGAGUGAUUCAAAAGCCCACGAAACAGUGUAAUCACGCGGUACUGUGAUGUCAUACUGGUUAAGGCUAAGCCACGUGAAGCCGGACACAAGGGCUUUGGGCUGGAGUAGCCUGUGGCUUUUAAGGCUUCGUGUCUCAUCGCGUUAAACGAUCGCAGAACGAUUUAUUUCUCUUUUUCACCUCGAUCUUUGGCCUCGUGUGAUUUACCAAAACCAACAUGUGAAGUUACAACGCUGACGAAGGAGUUUCAUCAGUAGAGUGUGUCCUGGAAAACGUGUGCUCGGAAACAUGCAGAAUACAGGAUUUACAGAGCCGACCUUGAGGCACCCACUGAUGGAUAAUCUGUUUACCUAAAAACAGCCCACCACAAUCCAUGUUUACCAGCUGUGAAAGUGCAGGCCAAAAAUAUUCCUUCACCUGUGGGCCUCUACCCACAUGUAGAUAAGCACUUCAGGAGAAACCUGCCUGUGAUCUGCUAAGAUGCACAGAUUCAACUCUGGCCCAAUUGUCAUCCCAACACCUCAUCUGCCAUCAGUUUCGUUUAGUGUCGGUCUAUUGCAAAAGUUCUUAUAAACUUUAAAUGAGACUUUGUGUUAAGCAGGGGUUUCCAAACUUUUCAUUCCACAACAUAUUAAGCCCAGGAUACACAGCAGGAUUUUUGCAAUCCAAUAAGACCUUAUCACACUGUGUGACAAGGAUUGUUUAAACUUCAGCAGUAGACUGUCGAUGAAGACACCUAUUGCAUCUGAAGCUGCGACAUCUGUCAUCAACAUGCGCUAGUGGUAAACAAAUACAGGUAUGCAGGUCGUAGAAGCAAACACAUUGUUGAUGUGCGUUGAUCAUGCUGAACUUCUUACACUGUCAUAAAACUAUCGUAGGUGUCUUUGGUCCCAGGACUGGGAAAACAGACGUCUUUAAACCUCUCACACUGUAUGAGAUAGGACCACCAAUUAAGAGCCACGAUCACAGAAAUCUCCACAAUUGUUUCACGAUUGGUAAUCUUUCAUCUGGGACAGCCAAAAAUCGUGCCGUGUAUUAUGGGUUUAAGACAGGUGUAAUCUUAUAGUAUAUCAAAACCAUUGCUAAUAAUUAAUUGGACAAACCAUUACUACAAUGCAACACUCACUAUCUUACGGUGCGACCCACAAGUGGGUCUUCACCCACAGUUUAAAAACCCUGAGUAUGAGAAAGAGUAUGUUGUAUUGUAAUUAAAGUCACAUCUAAGUGUUAUGGAACAGUUUGUCAUUAUAUUCACAGUAUUACAUGGUUCUUUCAGCAGUUACUACGUUACAGUGCUCUUAAAGUGUCCUGAUCAGCUUUGGGUCUUGUGAAGUAAUGUAAUGAGAACGUGAUCAAUAGCUUUGCAGUAUUUUGUUACACUGUGGCUGUAAUCAUAUUAACACAUAGGUUAAACAUUUUAUUCAAAUUUGGUAAACAAACUAGUCAAUAUAAUUCAUGCUGUGAUGCUGGAUUAAACCUGGUCAAAUGAUUGUGUAUUGUGUUUUCAAUUUUUAUGAGGUUUCUUCAUCUAUAUAAACAUUCUUAAUAUCA